UACAGAGGGUGCGAGCGUUAAUCGGAAUUACUGGGCGUAAAGCGCGCGUAGGCGGCUUUGCAAGUCGGGUGUGAAAUCCCCAGGCUUAACCUGGGAACUGCAUUCGAGACUGCAUUGCUAGAGUAUGGGAGAGGGAAGUGGAAUUUACGGUGUAGCAGUGAAAUGCGUAGAUAUCGUAAGGAAGACCAGUGGCGAAGGCGAGUCUCUGGACAGCAACUGACGCUGAGGCACGAAGGCCAGGGGAGCAAACGGG
This 253-nucleotide ribosomal RNA is filed under the name uncultured bacterium. RNAcentral describes it as "partial 16S ribosomal RNA". It matches the Rfam family "Bacterial small subunit ribosomal RNA", at positions 524 to 776 of the family's 1533-position model. The record is from RNAcentral.